Molecule: unclassified non-coding RNA, 345 nt
Filed under: Hevea brasiliensis (rubber tree)
Lineage: Eukaryota; Viridiplantae; Streptophyta; Magnoliopsida; Malpighiales; Euphorbiaceae
Source: RNAcentral
UCCAUUCCAAUAUUUAAGUUGGUUGUGGGUCCAGGUAGCACUCCUGGGGCACCUGUAGCAGGUAUUGGCAUGACAGGCAUAGUCUGGUUCAUGAUUGUAUUAGGCGUACUCUGUCCUACAUUCUGAGGACCAUGCACAGAACCACCAUUCUGAGAUGCAUCAGCUUCUUGAGAAUCUUGCCUUCCACCUGACUUCAUUUGCGAGUCGUUCUGAGAAUUUGCAUCGCUUCCUUCACUUGUGCCUUCGCUUGCGCUCUCAGCACUUUUAGAAUAAACUCCAUUAGCAGAUGCUCCACAUGUUUUACCGAGCUCAUUAUUCUUCCCUGUAAUCAUGUUUAAACUGCCC